This 339-nucleotide long non-coding RNA is filed under the name Mytilus galloprovincialis (Mediterranean mussel). The record is from RNAcentral. Lineage: Eukaryota; Metazoa; Mollusca; Bivalvia; Mytilida; Mytilidae.
UAUUUAGAUUGGGUGGUACAAAAACUUGCUGGAAAUCUACAUCAUAUAUAUAUGUGCAAUCAGGAAAGUUUUAAAAGACAAAGUUAAGAACAUGGGAUGGAGAUUAUUUGUUUAACAACUCUUUAGAUAUGAGUCCAUAAAAUUUGCCUGCUUUUUACAAAUUACACAGGAGUCUAUGUAAUUAGGACACAUAUUUUGUGUUCACCUUUCAACCAUAAGACUUUCCAUCACGUAAUGUUGCGAAUGGAUUCAGAUUUCAUUUCCGUAUUUUAACAAAGCAAGUUUCAUCGAAAGACAAUUUAGAUAAUUUUUUUAGAUUAUCAAUGACACCGUCCAGAA